Molecule: long non-coding RNA, 2943 nt
Organism: Acanthopagrus latus (yellowfin seabream)
Lineage: Eukaryota; Metazoa; Chordata; Actinopteri; Spariformes; Sparidae
Exons: 2
Source: RefSeq, a predicted model, not a curated record
CAUAAGCUAGUGUUUGGGAUGUUUACUCCAGCUAGCUUUUGGGAUGUUACUGUCAACUUGUGUUAGGUAUUUACAUUAGCAUUAGGGAUGUUGACGUUUGCUAGUGUAGGAAUAUUAAUGUCAGCUAGCAUUAGAGAUGUUACGGAUGUUAAUUUUAGCUAGUGUUGGGGGAUGUUAAAGUUAUCUAACAUUAGGGAUGUUAUCAUCAGCUACCAUUAGGGAUAUUAAUGUUAGGUGGUGGUAGUCAUGUUAAUGUUAGGAACCAUGGUGAUGUUAAUGUUAACUAGCGUUACAGAUGUUAAUGUUAGCUAGAGUAUUUACAUUAGUAAGUGUAAGGAUGUUAACGUCAGCUAGCAUUAGGGAUGUUAAUGUUAGGAACUGUAGUAAUGUUAAUGUUAACUAGUGAUCGGGGAUGUUAAUGUUAGCUAUUGUUGGAGAGUUAGCUACUUAGCUAGCUAGUUAGUUAAAGUUAGCUUGCAUUAGGUAUGUUAUCAUCAGCUAGCAUUAGGAAUGUUAAUGUUAGGAAUCGUAGUGGUGUGAAGUUAAUGGGAAGUUAAUGUUAGCUAUUGUUGGAGAAGUUAAAGUUAUCUAGCAUUAGGUAUGUUAGGUGGCAUUAGAGAUGUUAACUUUAGCUAGUGUUGGGGGAUGUUAAAGUUAUCUAACAUUAGGGAUGUUAUCAUCAGCUACCAUUAGGGAUAUUAAUGUUAGGUGGUGGUAGUCAUGCUAAUGUUAGGAACCAAGGUGAUGUUAAUGUUAACUAGCGUUACAGAUGUUAAUGUUAGCUGGAGUAUUUACAUUAGUAAGUGUAAGGAUGUUAACGUCAGCUAGCAUUAGGGAUGUUAAUGUUAGGAACUGUAGUAAUGUUAAUGUUAACUAGUGAUCGGGGAUGUUAAUGUUAGCUAUUGUUGGAGAGUUAGCUACUUAGCUAGCUAGUUAGUUAAAGUUAGCUUGCAUUAGGUAUGUUAUCAUCAGCUAGCAUUAGGAAUGUUAAUGUUAGGAAUCGUAGUGGUGUGAAGUUAAUGGGAAGUUAAUGUUAGCUAUUGUUGGAGAUGUUAAAGUUAUCUAGCAUUAGGUAUGUUAGGUGGCAUUAGAGAUGUUAACUUUAGCUAGUGUUGGGGGAUGUUAAAGUUAUCUAACAUUAGGGAUGUUAUCAUCAGCUACCAUUAGGGAUAUUAAUGUUAGGUGGUGGUAGUCAUGUUAAUGUUAGGAACCAAGGUGAUGUUAAUGUUAACUAGCGUUACAGAUGUUAAUGUUAGCUGGAGUAUUUACAUUAGUAAGUGUAAGGAUGUUAACAUCAGCUAGCAUUAGGGAUGUUAAUGUUAGGAACUGUAGUAAUGUUAAUGUUAACUAGUGAACGGGGAUGUUAAUGUUAGCUAUUGUUGGAGAGUUAGCUACUUAGCUAGCUAGUUAGUUAAAGUUAGCUUGCAUUAGGUAUGUUAUCAUCAGCUAGCAUUAGGAAUGUUAAUGUUAGGAAUCGUAGUGGUGUGAAGUUAAUGGGAAGUUAAUGUUAGCCAUUGUUGGAGAUGUUAAAGUUAUCUAGCAUUAGGUAUGUUAGGUGGCAUUAGAGAUGUUAACUUUAGCUAGUGUUGGGGGAUGUUAAAGUUAUCUAACAUUAGGGAUGUUAUCAUCAGCUACCAUUAGGGAUAUUAAUGUUAGGUGGUGGUAGUCAUGUUAAUGUUAGGAACCAAGGUGAUGUUAAUGUUAACUAGCGUUACAGAUGUUAAUGGGAAGUUAAUGUUAGCCAUUGUUGGAGAUGUUAAAGUUAUCUAGCAUUAGGUAUGUUAGGUGGCAUUAGAGAUGUUAACUUUAGCUAGUGUUGGGGGAUGUUAAAGUUAUCUAACAUUAGGGAUGUUAAUAUUAUCAAGGAUGUGCUGUAUGCACAUAUAUUUUAUGGGUUUUUUUUUCCUGUUCUUUUAACAUUUUGAAACAGAGAAUGAGAAUGUUGUAAAGCUGUUUUGCUGCAAAGCUCCAGAAAUGAUUUAUUGGCUACGAAACUUCAUCCCUUUCCACUGACUUGAGGGUCAAUAUUGAUUGAAUUUUCAUAUUAGGGUGAGCUGUUGCUUUACAAGUUUUUGUUUUUCAUAAAGUCAAAGGGAUUUUUCUCAACCUGGCACCUAAAAAGUCCCUGUUAAUAAUGUCUUAUGCUUUAUGGAGCAUUAAUAAUAAUCAGUUGCAACAUGCCAACUGUGGCUGUUUAACUUCAGGUAAAGCAUUAUACAAGAAUUCUGAAAAACAAGCAGCCAGAUAAAAAGAAACUGCCUCUGUCGGCCUGCCAACAGCUUUACAGCGCGCCAUAAAGCGGUCCGGCGGGGGAUUCUGUGGCGUUGUUCAACUCCCACCAGAACCCACAACCACAACCUGGAACACAACUUUUACAACAGCUAGCAAAUUGAGAAUAGUGAUUUUCCUAUAAAAGCCCUCAAGAACAGGGGAGCCUGGAUGCAGAGAGUUUAAUGAGAAGGUUUGAUGGCUCUCCCCGUCAAACAGACCGACUUCCCUGCCAAACGCUGUUCUCUCUUUUUAUUUGUGUCGGUGUUCGAGUAACUGAUUAAACAUACCAGAAACCUCGCGGACGGGCUGCCAGCAGUCCCCUCGCCGCCUCCGAGUGCCGCAGUCGUAAAACCUGACUUGACAGUGGUCUCGUAAAGCAGACAUAAUGCUGUCGUAAACAUGUCACGACACCUGCCAUAAACAUUAAUGACUGUUUAUGAAGGCGGAUGAUGAAUCGGAGGCCUUUUCUGGAGGCCGUUCAGCAGGUUGCGGCUGGAGAAUCACAAAGCCGUGUUAUGAUCCAAACUUUGGCAGGCGACUCAAAACAGCUCUGUGCUUCGCAGGAUGCAGUCCAGCGAAAAGUCAAAGCAAAGUCAUCAAGUUCAAAGCCAAGCAGCUAUCUGAUUUAUCCUUGAGUCUGCAAUUAAUGAUAAUAAAGCUCGUUCUCGCUAA